This 406-nucleotide long non-coding RNA is filed under the name Helianthus annuus (common sunflower). RNAcentral's name for it is "hypothetical non coding rna". Lineage: Eukaryota; Viridiplantae; Streptophyta; Magnoliopsida; Asterales; Asteraceae. The record is from RNAcentral.
UAUACAUUUACCACACUUGGCAUUUAACGCUUUAACGCCAGAAGACCAUACAAAGUGGUUGACGUGAUGAUGAUAUGGAAGCCCCUCAACGUCAGAAACAUCACAUAGCGUGGAGGGUGGCGUGAUGAUAAGGGUGGGAGAUUCUUCACCGGUGUGGGAUGCUUAUGUUUGGUGAUAUGAAGAGUUUUGAUUGUUGGAACGCCACUUUCACGCCUCUCCCAUUCCGUGUUUUUUUUUACCACACCAUCUGUUGACGUGGCUGCUACAUGACGCUUCAUGCACUUUCUUCAUUCCAUCCCACUCCGUAUAGUCUAAAUGUUGACGUGGUUGGUGACUUGAGCCUACCUCAUAUAUUCUAAGUUUAGUAUCGUAAUUUUAGAAUUAUGAUAUGGUAAUUCAAAAAAAA